Non-coding RNA from Furculomyces boomerangus, 72 nucleotides. NCBI's taxonomy places the organism in Eukaryota, Fungi, Kickxellomycota, Harpellomycetes, Harpellales, Harpellaceae. The record is from the annotation of a GenBank genome assembly.
GGAGUGAUAGCUCAGUGGUAGAGCUUUCGACUGCAGAUCGAAUGGUCCCGGGUUCAACUCCCGGUCGCUCCU